GGACUACUGGGGUAUCUAAUCCUGUUUGCUCCCCCAGCUUUCGUGCCUGAGCGUCAGGCGUCGUCCAGGGCGCUGCCUUCGCCGUCGGUGUUCCUCCGGAUCUCUACGCAUUUCACCGCUCCACCCGGAAUUCCACGCCCCUCUGCGACCCUCAAGCCCGACCGUCUGCAUGGCCCUCUCCCAGUUGAGCCAGGAGCUUUCACCACCCACCUGCCGGGCCGCCUGCGCACCCUUUACGCCCAGUAACUCCGGACAACGCUCGCCUCCUACGUAUUACCGCGGCUGCUGGCAC
This 292-nucleotide ribosomal RNA is filed under the name uncultured bacterium. RNAcentral's name for it is "partial 16S ribosomal RNA". The record is from RNAcentral.